GACGAACGCUGGCGGCGUGCUUAACACAUGCAAGUCGAACGGAAAGGCCCUGCUUUUGUGGGGUGCUCGAGUGGCGAACGGGUGAGUAACACGUGAGUAACCUGCCCUUGACUUUGGGAUAACUUCAGGAAACUGGGGCUAAUACCGGAUAGGAGCUCCUGCUGCAUGGUGGGGGUUGGAAAGUUUCGGCGGUUGGGGAUGGACUCGCGGCUUAUCAGCUUGUUGGUGGGGUAGUGGCUUACCAAGGCUUUGACGGGUAGCCGGCCUGAGAGGGUGACCGGCCACAUUGGGACUGAGAUACGGCCCAGACUCCUACGGGAGGCAGCAGUGGGGAAUAUUGCACAAUGGGCGGAAGCCUGAUGCAGCAACGCCGCGUGCGGGAUGACGGCCUUCGGGUUGUAAACCGCUUUCGCCUGUGACGAAGCGUGAGUGACGGUAAUGGGUAAAGAAGCACAGGCUAACUACGUGCCAGCAGCCGCGGUGAUACGUAGGGUGCGAGCGUUGUCCGGAUUUAUUGGGCGUAAAGGGCUCGUAGGUGGUUGAUCGCGUCGGAAGUGUAAUCUUGGGGCUUAACCCUGAGCGUGCUUUCGAUACGGGUUGACUUGAGGAAGGUAGGGGAGAAUGGAAUUCCUGGUGGAGCGGUGGAAUGCGCAGAUAUCAGGAGGAACACCAGUGGCGAAGGCGGUUCUCUGGGCCUUUCCUGACGCUGAGGAGCGAAAGCGUGGGGAGCGAACAGGCUUAGAUACCCUGGUAGUCCACGCUGUAAACGGUGGGUACUAGGUGUGGGGUCCAUUCCACGGGUUCCGUGCCGUAGCUAACGCUUUAAGUACCCCGCCUGGGGAGUACGGCCGCAAGGCUAAAACUCAAAGGAAUUGACGGGGCCCCGCACAAGCGGCGGAGCAUGCGGAUUAAUUCGAUGCAACGCGUAGAACCUUACCUGGGUUUGACAUGGAUCGGGAGCGCUCAGAGAUGGGUGUGCCUCUUUUGGGGUCGGUUCACAGGUGGUGCAUGGCUGCCGUCAGCUCGUGUCGUGAGAUGUUGGGUUAAGUCCCGCAACGAGCGCAACCCUUGUUCACUGUUGCCAGCACGUUAUGGUGGGGACUCAGUGGAGACCGCCGGGGUCAACUCGGAGGAAGGCGGGGAUGACGUCAAGUCAUCAUGCCCCUUAUGUCCAGGGCUUCACGCAUGCUACAAUGGCUGGUACAGAGAGUGGCGAGCCUGUGAGGGUGAGCGAAUCCCGGAAAGCCGGUCUCAGUUCGGAUUGGGGUCUGCAACUCGACCUCAUGAAGUCGGAGUCGCUAGUAAUCGCAGAUCAGCAACGCUGCGGUGAAUACGUUCCCGGG
RNAcentral lists this ribosomal RNA (1343 nucleotides) under uncultured bacterium. Its description in RNAcentral is "16S ribosomal RNA". It matches the Rfam family "Bacterial small subunit ribosomal RNA", at positions 28 to 1378 of the family's 1533-position model. The record is from RNAcentral.